This 497-nucleotide ribosomal RNA is filed under the name uncultured bacterium. RNAcentral's name for it is "partial 16S ribosomal RNA". It matches the Rfam family "Bacterial small subunit ribosomal RNA", at positions 28 to 507 of the family's 1533-position model. The record is from RNAcentral.
GAUGAACGCUGGCGGCGUGCCUAAUACAUGCAAGUCGAGCGAACAGAUGAGGAGCUUGCUCCUCUGACGUUAGCGGCGGACGGGUGAGUAACACGUGGAUAACCUACCUAUAAGACUGGGAUAACUUCGGGAAACCGGAGCUAAUACCGGAUAAUAUAUUGAACCGCAUGGUUCAAUAGUGAAAGACGGUUUUGCUGUCACUUAUAGAUGGAUCCGCGCCGCAUUAGCUAGUUGGUAAGGUAACGGCUUACCAAGGCAACGAUGCGUAGACGACCGGAGAGGGUGAUCGGCCACACUGGAACUGAGACACGGUCCAGACUCCUACGGGAGGCAGCAGUAGGGAAUCUUCCGCAAUGGGCGAAAGCCUGACGGAGCAACGCCGCGUGAGUGAUGAAGGUCUUCGGAUCGUAAAACUCUGUUAUUAGGGAAGAACAAAUGUGUAAGUAACUAUGCACGUCUUGACGGUACCUAAUCAGAAAGCCACGGCUAACUACGUG